Molecule: long non-coding RNA, 426 nt
Filed under: Vulpes vulpes (red fox)
Lineage: Eukaryota; Metazoa; Chordata; Mammalia; Carnivora; Canidae
Description: lncRNA (ENSVVUG00000011069.1)
Source: RNAcentral
UUUCUCUCUCUUCAGAGCUGAAGGUGCCUGCUUCUGAACCUAAUGGUUUGAAGUUUCUUCACAUUUCCAUCUUCAGGAUGAAUGUAAAUCCAAGCAGAACCAAUCCAGUCCUUGGGAAGCCAACAGCAAGUUCACCACACUUCUAAAUGUUGCUGAAUGGUUCCUAUUUCAAAGGUUUAGUCCAAGCUUGGAAACUUUUGACCUCUGACUCUGUUACCAUUGUGGAAAGAAUUGUUCAAAUCCCUCAACUACCAGGGCAGACAAUCCAAGAAAAAGAAAACAUAUACAAGCUGCAAGAAAAAUAAAUUCCCAAUCAACAUUUUUUGCCACAGUUACUAAAAAGUCUGAGAGGCUAUAUUUAUAUGAACUCUACUAGAGAAAAAUAUUUCAUAUAAAAAUAUGUCUUUAUGUGGGACUCUGUGUGUG